This 445-nucleotide ribosomal RNA is filed under the name uncultured bacterium. Its description in RNAcentral is "partial 16S ribosomal RNA". It matches the Rfam family "Bacterial small subunit ribosomal RNA", at positions 354 to 796 of the family's 1533-position model. The record is from RNAcentral.
GUGAGGAAUAUUGGUCAAUGGGCGGGAGCCUGAACCAGCCAAGUCGCGUGAAGGAAGAAGGAUCUAUGGUUCGUAAACUUCUUUUGCAGGGGAAUAAAGUGCAGGACGUGUCCUGUUUUGUAUGUACCCUGAGAAUAAGGAUCGGCUAACUCCGUGCCAGCAGCCGCGGUAAUACGGAGGAUCCGAGCGUUAUCCGGAUUUAUUGGGUUUAAAGGGUGCGUAGGUGGUUUGAUAAGUCAGCGGUGAAAGUUUGCAGCUUAACUGUAAAAAUACCGUUGAAACUGUCGGACUUGAGUGUAAAUGAGGUAGGCGGAAUGCGUGGUGUAGCGGUGAAAUGCAUAGAUAUCACGCAGAACUCCGAUUGCGAAGGCAGCUUACUAAGCUACAACUGACACUGAAGCACGAAAGCGUGGGGAUCAAACAGGAUUAGAAACCCCUGUAGUCC